Non-coding RNA from Caenorhabditis elegans, 124 nucleotides. The record is from Ensembl. Lineage: Eukaryota; Metazoa; Nematoda; Chromadorea; Rhabditida; Rhabditidae.
UCCGUUUCUGUUCUUUUUGCCCGCCCGCCCCGUACAGAGCCAAUGCACCCAGGUAAACGAUGGGUACCCGCCCACUUUAAAGAGAUGGAAACCAUACUCGGUUGGAAAAGGGUGGAGAGAAGAG